Molecule: ribosomal RNA, 497 nt
Filed under: uncultured bacterium
Lineage: Bacteria
Description: partial 16S ribosomal RNA
Rfam family: Bacterial small subunit ribosomal RNA
Source: RNAcentral
GAUGAACGCUGGCGGCGUGCCUAAUACAUGCAAGUCCAGCGAACAGACGAGGAGCUUGCUCCUUUGACGUUAGCGGCGGACGGGUGAGUAACACGUAGGUAACCUACCUAUAAGACUGGGAUAACUUCGGGAAACCGGAGCUAAUACCGGAUAAUAUUUCGAACCGCAUGGUUCGAUAGUGAAAGAUGGCUUUGCUAUCACUUAUAGAUGGACCUGCGCCGUAUUAGCUAGUUGGUAAGGUAACGGCUUACCAAGGCAACGAUACGUAGCCGACCUGAGAGGGUGAUCGGCCACACUGGAACUGAGACACGGUCCAGACUCCUACGGGAGGCAGCAGUAGGGAAUCUUCCGCAAUGGGCGAAAGCCUGACGGAGCAACGCCGCGUGAGUGAUGAAGGUCUUCGGAUCGUAAAACUCUGUUAUUAGGGAAGAACAAACGUGUAAGUAACUGUGCACGUCUUGACGGUACCUAAUCAGAAAGCCACGGCUAACUACGUG